This 68-nucleotide transfer RNA is filed under the name Marmota monax (woodchuck). Its description in RNAcentral is "tRNA.Ile". The record is from RNAcentral. Lineage: Eukaryota; Metazoa; Chordata; Mammalia; Rodentia; Sciuridae.
GGAUUGUGGCUCAGUGGUAGAGCACUUGCCUUAUAUGUGUGACAUACUGGGUUUGAUCCUCAGCAUCA